Molecule: ribosomal RNA, 253 nt
Filed under: uncultured bacterium
Lineage: Bacteria
Description: partial 16S ribosomal RNA
Rfam family: Bacterial small subunit ribosomal RNA
Source: RNAcentral
UACGUAGGGGGCUAGCGUUGUCCGGAUUUAUUGGGCGUAAAGAGCGUGUAGGCGGCCAGGUAGGUCUGCUGUGAAAACUCGAGGCUUAACCUCGAGCUGUCGGCGGAAACCAUCUGGCUAGAGUCCGGAAGAGGAGAAUGGAAUUCCCGGUGUAGCGGUGAAAUGCGUAGAUAUCUGGAGGAACACCGGUGGCGAAGGCGGCAUCCUGGACCGGCAUUGACGCUGAGGCGCGAAAGCCAGGGGAGCAAACGGG